Molecule: ribosomal RNA, 148 nt
Filed under: Salegentibacter holothuriorum
Lineage: Bacteria; Pseudomonadati; Bacteroidota; Flavobacteriia; Flavobacteriales; Flavobacteriaceae
Description: partial 16S rRNA. Bacterial SSU
Rfam family: Bacterial small subunit ribosomal RNA
Source: RNAcentral
CUGGCUCAGGAUGAACGCUAGCGGCAGGCCUAACACAUGCAAGUCGAGGGGUAACAUAGAGAAGCUUGCUUUUCUGAUGACGACCGGCGCACGGGUGAGUAACGCGUAUACAACCUACCUUUUAGCGGGGAAUAGCCCAGGGAAACUU